UAUGCAAAUGUCCUUCCCUGUUAUAUAUUUAAGCAACACAGACCAAGAGCUUUUACUGAUUCUGCUUCAACACACACCAUGAUCUCUACAUCACUACUGCUGCUGCUGCUGGCAGCCGUACACUGUGGUCACUGUGUUGAGCUGAUCCAGACCAGAUCCACAGUAUUAACCCCUGGUCAGUCACUGACUCUGACCUGUAAAGUGUCUGGAUAUUCAGUAACUGAUAGCAGCUACUGUACAGACUGGAUACGACAACCUGCAGGAAAAACUCUGGAGUGGAUUGGAGAGAUAUGUGGUGAUGGUAGCACUUACUACAGUGAGAAACUGAAAAGCAGGUUUCAGGUUACCAGAGACACGUCCAGCAGCACAGUAACAUUAACAGGACAGAACAUGCAGACUGAAGACACAGCUGUGUAUUACUGCGCUCGUGAACCACACAGUGAUACACAUCAACAACAAAGCUCCAGCAGCCAGCAGAGGGCGACAGCAGCAUACAGUGAGAGUGUCGAUUACCCAGAAUCCUUCAGGCUCAUUAUCCUGGAUUGGCUGCACCUGCCGUUUAGGAUACUUAAGACCUGUUUAAGACUCUUCUCUUCUUUUGCACCUCAGGGUUCUGCCUGA
This is a non-coding RNA of Silurus meridionalis, 621 nucleotides long. The record is from the annotation of a RefSeq genome assembly. Lineage: Eukaryota; Metazoa; Chordata; Actinopteri; Siluriformes; Siluridae.